CCUCCUUAAGAUAAGGUUUCCCUAGGUCGCAAGACCUCUAAAGGGCGCAGGAAGACUACCUGCUUGAUAGGCUGCGAGUGUAAGCGCUGCGAGGCGUUAAGCGAAGCAGUACUAAUCGCCCGUGCGGCUUGGCCGUAU
Molecule: ribosomal RNA, 138 nt
Filed under: Elusimicrobia bacterium GWC2_65_9
Lineage: Bacteria; Pseudomonadati; Elusimicrobiota
Description: partial 23S ribosomal RNA
Rfam family: Bacterial large subunit ribosomal RNA
Source: RNAcentral